UAGGGAAUAUUGGUCAAUGGGCGCAAGCCUGAACCAGCCAUGCCGCGUGAGUGAUGAAGGCCUUCGGGUCGUAAAACUCUUUUCUGAGGGAAGAACAUCCUGCGUAGGAAAUGACGCGGGCUUGACGGUACCUCAGGAAUAAGCAACGGCUAACUCCGUGCCAGCAGCCGCGGUAAUACGGAGGUUGCGAGCGUUGUUCGGAAUAACUGGGCGUAAAGGGAGCGCAGGCGGUUGGGUAAGUCUAAAGUGAAAGCCCGGGGCUCAACUCCGGAAGUGCUUUGGAUACUACCCAACUCGAGUUCGUGAGAGGAAAGCGGAAUUCCAGGUGUAGCGGUGAAAUGCGUAGAUAUCUGGAGGAACACCAGAGGCGAAAGCGGCCUUCUAGGCCACGGCUGACGCUCAGACGCGAAAGCUAGGGGAGCAAACG
Molecule: ribosomal RNA, 427 nt
Filed under: uncultured prokaryote
Description: bacterial SSU rRNA
Rfam family: Bacterial small subunit ribosomal RNA
Source: RNAcentral